AGAGUUUGAUCAUGGCUCAGAACGAACGCUGGCGGCGUGCUUAACACAUGCAAGUCGAGUGCGCGCCUGUAGCAAUACAGGUGCGCACGGCGCACGGGUGCGUAACACGUGGGUANNCUGCCCUUUGGUGGGGAAUAACUCCGCGAAAGCGAAGCUAAUUCCGCAUAAGAUCCGCAAGGAUGAAAGCCGAAAGGCGCCGAUGGAGGGNNCCGCGCACGAUUAGCUAGUUGGUAGGGUAAUGGCCUACCAAGGCUUUGAUCGUUAGCUGGUCUGAGAGGGAUGGCCAGCCACACUGGAACUGAGACACGGUCCAGACUCCUACGGGAGGCAGCAGUGGGGAAUCUUGCACAAUGGGCGAAAGCCUGAUGCAGCGACGCCGCGUGGGGGAUGAAGCUUCUCGGAGUGUAAACCCCUUUCGAUCCGGACGAAUGCCCGCAAGGGAUUGACGGUACGGAUAUAAGAAGCCCCGGCUAACUACGUGCCAGCAGCCGCGGUAAUACGUAGGGGGCCAGCGUUGUUCGGAAUUACUGGGUGUAAAGGGUUCGUAGGCGGUGCGGCAAGUUGGGAGUGAAAUCUCUGGGCUCAACCCAGAGGCUGCUUCCAAACUGCCGUGCUUGAGUGUGGGAGAGGCUCGUGGAAUUGCAGGUGUAGCGGUGAAAUGCGUAGAUAUCUGCAGGAACACCCGUGGCGAAAGCGGCGAGCUGGACCACUACUGACGCUGAAGAACGAAAGCUAGGGGAGCAAACAGGAUUAGAUACCCUAGUAGUCC
RNAcentral lists this ribosomal RNA (769 nucleotides) under uncultured bacterium. RNAcentral describes it as "bacterial SSU rRNA". It matches the Rfam family "Bacterial small subunit ribosomal RNA", at positions 8 to 796 of the family's 1533-position model. The record is from RNAcentral.